Molecule: ribosomal RNA, 497 nt
Filed under: uncultured bacterium
Lineage: Bacteria
Description: partial 16S ribosomal RNA
Rfam family: Bacterial small subunit ribosomal RNA
Source: RNAcentral
GAUGAACGCUGGCGGCGUGCCUAAUGCAUGCAAGUCGAGCGAACGGACGAGAAGCUUGCUUAUCUGAUGUUAGCGGCGGACGGGUGAGUAACACGUGGAUAACCUACCUAUAAGACUGGGAUAACUUCGGGAAACCGGAGCUAAUACCGGAUAAUAUUUUGAACCGCAUGGUUCAAAAGUGAAAGACGGUCUUGCUGUCACUUAUAGAUGGAUCCGCGCUGCAUUAGCUAGUUGGUAAGGUAACGGCUUACCAAGGCAACGAUGCAUAGCCGACCUGAGAGGGUGAUCGGCCACACUGGAACUGAGACACGGUCCAGACUCCUACGGGAGGCAGCAGUAGGGAAUCUUCCGCAAUGGGCGAAAGCCUGACGGAGCAACGCCGCGUGAGUGAUGAAGGUCUUCGGAUCGUAAAACUCUGUUAUUAGGGAAGAACAUAUGUGUAAGUAACUGUGCACAUCUUGACGGUACCUAAUCAGAAAGCCACGGCUAACUACGUG